UUGGAAUCUUGUAUGAAUGGUUGGAUAAAAGAAAUACUGUCUCUUAUAUUUUUAUUGAAUUUAACUUUUAAGUGAAAAGGCUUAAAUAUUUUAAAAAGACGAUAAGACCCUAUAAAGCUUUAUAAUUAAUUUUAUUUGAUUGAAUUGAUAUAUAAAAUUUUAAUAAAUUAUAUUAUUUUGUUGGGGAGACAAAAUUAUAAUUUUGAAUAACUGUUAAUAAUUGACACAAUUAUAUUUGGGUAAUUGUAAUGAUAGAUCCUUAGUAAAGAUUAAAAGUUCAAGUUACUUUAGGGAUAACAGCGUUAUUUUUCUUGAGAGUUCAUAUCGAAAGAAAAGAUUGCGACCUCGAUGUUGAAUUAAAAUUUCUAAAUAAUUGCAGAAGUUAUUAUAGAGGGUCUGUUCGACCUUUAAAUUUUUACAUGAUUUGAGUUCAGACCGGCGUAAGCCAGGUUGGUUUCUAUCUUUUAAUAGGUGUAUAAUUAUCUUAGUACGAAAGGAUUAGAUAAUUAAAAGUAUUUUAUUAAAGUGGAGAA
This 533-nucleotide ribosomal RNA is filed under the name Nepinnotheres novaezelandiae. Its description in RNAcentral is "partial 16S ribosomal RNA". The stretch from base 293 to 452 matches the Rfam family "Bacterial large subunit ribosomal RNA", at positions 2473 to 2632 of the family's 2925-position model. Lineage: Eukaryota; Metazoa; Arthropoda; Malacostraca; Decapoda; Pinnotheridae. The record is from RNAcentral.